This 827-nucleotide ribosomal RNA is filed under the name uncultured bacterium. RNAcentral describes it as "bacterial SSU rRNA". It matches the Rfam family "Bacterial small subunit ribosomal RNA", at positions 338 to 1158 of the family's 1533-position model. The record is from RNAcentral.
CCUACGGGAGGCAGCAGUGGGGAAUUUUGGACAAUGGGGGCAACCCUGAUCCAGCCAUUCCGCGUGAGUGAAGAAGGCCUUCGGGUUGUAAAGCUCUUUUGUCCGGAACGAAACGGUGCACGUGAAUAUCGUGCGCUACUGACGGUACCGGAAGAAUAAGCACCGGCUAACUACGUGCCAGCAGCCGCGGUAAUACGUAGGGUGCGAGCGUUAAUCGGAAUUACUGGGCGUAAAGCGUGCGCAGGCGGUUUUGUAAGCCAGAUGUGAAAUCCCCGGGCUUAACCUGGGAAUGGCAUUUGGGACUGCAAGGCUGGAGUGUGGCAGAGGAGACUGGAAUUCCUGGUGUAGCAGUGAAAUGCGUAGAUAUCAGGAGGAAUACCGAUGGCGAAGGCAGGUCUCUGGGCUGACACUGACGCUCAUGCACGAAAGCGUGGGGAGCAAACAGGAUUAGAUACCCUGGUAGUCCACGCCCUAAACGAUGUCGACUGGUUGUUGGGGGUUUGACACUCUCAGUAACGAAGCUAACGCGUGAAGUCGACCGCCUGGGGAGUACGGCCGCAAGGUUAAAACUCAAAGGAAUUGACGGGGACCCGCACAAGCGGUGGAUUAUGUGGAUUAAUUCGAUGCAACGCGAAAAACCUUACCUACCCUUGACAUGUCCGAGAGGCUGGAGAGAUCCAGCUGUGCCCGAAAGGGAAUCGGAACACAGGUGCUGCAUGGCUGUCGUCAGCUCGUGUCGUGAGAUGUUGGGUUAAGUCCCGCAACGAGCGCAACCCUUGUCAUUAGUUGCUACAUUUAGUUGGGCACUCUAAUGAGACUGCCGGUGA